This 794-nucleotide long non-coding RNA is filed under the name Coffea arabica (coffee). Its description in RNAcentral is "long non-coding RNA (CARA_LNC002993)". Lineage: Eukaryota; Viridiplantae; Streptophyta; Magnoliopsida; Gentianales; Rubiaceae. The record is from RNAcentral.
UUAAGUAUGUCAGUACAUGUGUGAAGUUUAAAUUUGAAAUUUAUUUAAUUAAUUAAGAUUGCAUAAUUGUGUUUCAAGGGCUUUCUUUUUUAUUUUUUUCUUUGUUGUGUUAAACCUUGGAUUGUGUUCUUUGUUGGUAGUUCCUGAGGAGUCUAUUAAAGUCAAUAGCCACAUUUUUUUUUGAUAAAACACAAGUCAAUAUUAUUGAUCAUCUCGCUGGAAAAUCAUCCAGCACGAUUUCUUUGACAAAGUAAUCUGCAUUAAUGGCAGAAAAUACAUUGAACAUAUCACAGGUAUAUUUGAUCUGAGAAAUCAUAAGAUUUAACAGUUACAAAAUAUAAGAAAUUAUACCGUGAAUCACCAAUCAUCAAAUCUGACCAAUUGAUCAAACCGCUCCAUAGAUAUCUGUGCAUGUCUAUUCCCUCAGAUUUGCUAUCCAACUGGUUUAAAUUCAAAACUGAUGUUGAGAUCUGGCGAGAAGACCCAAGAAAUUUUAGAUCUAUCAUAUAGAUUUGAAAAAAUUCUUAGAUCUGAGAAAAUACAUAACAAAAAAAAUAAAAACUAAACAAAACUCUCACCAGGAUAGCCUAGUAGAGAAGAAAACUCUCACCAGGAUAGCUUGAGAGAGAAGAAAACUCUCACUAUAAUACCCUAAGAGAAACUUUAUUAAAGUAAGAACAAAGGAAUACGAAAGGAGAAUAAAGGAAGAGGAAGGGAGACCUUGGCUUAACACCAAAAUCUCCCUCCUAUGGAGGAAGAAGAGUAGAGAGAAAGUUGAGGGUAGAGAGGGAAAG